AGCAAACCUCAGAAAGCCAAUCUCAGUUCGGAUUGUAGGCUGCAACUCGCCUACAUGAAGUUGGAAUCGCUAGUAAUCGCGAAUCAGAAUGUCGCGGUGAAUACGUUCCCGGGUCUUGUACACACCGCCCGUCACACCACGAGAGUUUACAACACCCGAAGUCAGUGGCCUAACCGCAAGGAGGGAGCUGCCUAAGGUGGGGUAGAUGAUUGGGGUGAAGUCGUAACAAGGUAAC
RNAcentral lists this ribosomal RNA (235 nucleotides) under uncultured bacterium. RNAcentral describes it as "partial 16S ribosomal RNA". It matches the Rfam family "Bacterial small subunit ribosomal RNA", at positions 1266 to 1500 of the family's 1533-position model. The record is from RNAcentral.